Molecule: ribosomal RNA, 392 nt
Filed under: uncultured bacterium
Lineage: Bacteria
Description: bacterial SSU rRNA
Rfam family: Bacterial small subunit ribosomal RNA
Source: RNAcentral
AACGAACGCUGGCGGCGUGCCUAACACAUGCAAGUCGUGCGAGAAAGUUCCUUCGGGAGCGAGUAAAGCGGCGCACGGGUGAGUAACACGUAGGUAACCUGCCCCCCAGUCUGGAACAACUAGAGGAAACUCUAGCUAAUGCCGGAUGAGACCACGAUCCCUUCGGGGGUUGCGGCCAAAGAUGGCCUCUACUUGUAAGCUAUCGCUGAGGGAUGGGCCUGCGGGCCAUUAGCUUGUUGGUGAGGUAACGGCUCACCAAGGCUGUGAUGGCUAGCUGGUCUGAGAGGAUGACCAGCCACACUGGGACUGAGACACGGCCCAGACUCCUACGGGAGGCAGCAGUGGGGAAUAUUGCGCAAUGGGCGAAGCCUGACGCAGCGACGCCGCGUGGG